ACAGCUAGGAAUUCUGGGUAAACACACUCUUCCGGAAUCUCUCGUGACCUGUCGAGCGGCUUUCCUGCGGCGGUUUGCUUGUGCGUCACGAGCGUCACGAACUCACCUGCGGCGCCAUGGCAACAUCAACAACAACCACAACAAGGUGCCGCUUUCCCGGGAGAUCCUGAGGAAUGUGUUUGUAGAGUACGCGGUCGUCAUGGCGACCGAGGCCGUCCCCGCGGGAAACCUCUUACCUGCCGCGGCACACCUGCGCGAGCGUCGUCAUGGAGAUGCGCCAGUGUUUGGCCGGAAGCAGAGCGGCUUUCUCUUUCAUCCUCUGAGCUGAGCGUCUGACGCGCUCCAGAUGACGCUCCGCGGCGCGUUACACACGCGGAACUUCACACAUUCAGGAAGCACACAAGGUCAACAUCAAACAUUAAAGUCAAAAACACAUUGUCUUCUGUCAGAAUCGUAUCUUUGGGCUCAGAUGACACACAAAGCAGAACAGUAGUGAGAUCUGCUUCUGGGAUACAGCACCACAGAGAUACAGUAAUAUUCACCAUAAACUCUGCUGUCACUACACUACUGUAAAGUGAUCUUACAGAAGAAGAAGAGCACUAGAAGAGAAGAGUUCAAAACCACACAACAGACUAUACAGUAAACACAGUCAGUCAGUUACUGUAAAUACAGUAAUACAGCAUCCUCUGCUGAGUUACGGUACAGUACUGUUAAUAUCCUUAUCCUUUAUAUUAUAAAAGACUCUUUCUGCCUCCUCUAGACAGCUGUGUCUCAGUUCUGCACAAAUACAUGUCCGAAGUGCUUGAGUUUGAGGAUGUGUGCUACGGUAUUUCCAGCUGCUCACACAGAAUCUUCACUUGUCACACAGUUCCUGGAUUUGUGUGAGUUUUGAAUAAAAGAUGUAGAGUGCGAUCAUCUGAAAUAAAGCUGAGAUGUUCUCAGACG
Carassius auratus (goldfish) is the source of this 945-nucleotide long non-coding RNA. RefSeq lists it as uncharacterized. The transcript is spliced from 3 exons. NCBI's taxonomy places the organism in Eukaryota, Metazoa, Chordata, Actinopteri, Cypriniformes, Cyprinidae. The record is from RefSeq and is a predicted model, not a curated record.